CACACCGGACACAAGGGAAAGCCAGUAAAUGUUAAUGUGAGUCCGUUUGUUUACAACUAUGCAGCCAGUGAAACUCAAAUCCAUGAAGACCCGAAUGUGGCUCUUUUCUUUCUGGAAAAGGAUAUGCACCCCGGGGCAACAAUGAGCCUGCAUUUCACUGAAAAUACAGAGAAAUCAGCUUUCUUACCUUAUCAAACUGCCCAAAAAAUACCGUUUUCAUCUGACAAGUUGCCAGAAAUUUUCAACAAGUUUUCAGUGAAACCUGGAUCACUGAAGGCAGAGAUGAUGAAGAACACAAUUAAGGAGUGCGAACAGCCAGCGAUUGAAGGAGAGGAAAAAUAUUGUGCAACCUCACUGGAGUCAAUGAUUGACUAUAGCAUUUCCAAACUAGGGAAAGUUGAUCAGGCAGUCUCAACAGAAGUGGAAAAACAAACCCCAACGCAGCAGUAUACAAUAACAGCUGGAGUGCAGAAGAUGACAAAUGGCAAAGCUGUAGUGUGCCACAAGCAGAAUUAUGCAUAUGCUGUCUUCUAUUGUCAUAAAUCAGAAACAACAAGGGCUUACAUGGUUCCUUUAGAGGGUGCUGACGGAACAAAAGCCAAAGCAGUAGCAGUCUGCCACACAGAUACAUCAGCAUGGAACCCUAAGCAUUUGGCUUUUCAAGUCCUAAAAGUUGAGCCAGGAACCAUUCCUGUCUGCCAUUUCCUUCCUCGGGAUCACAUUGUUUGGGUCCCUAAGUAAAAGUCCUGAAGAGUAGAUUCAUACACUAUAGUUUCUUCACAGUGUGCAUUAAAACAGCUUAAAGCAAUAUCCAGUUUGUUCUAUAAUAAUAUACCCACAAGUUUAGUCAUGUAAAAUCUAUCCAUGAAUCAUGUUCUUAGUAAUGGAUAAAAUGAUAUUACUUUCUGUAUCACAAGGGUUUGGUGAUAAAUGUAUUAGUAUUUUAAGUAACUUUUCAGACAUCGUAUUCCAAGUAACUUUGCGGACAUUAUGUUUCUCCAUUAGAUUACUAAUUCUCUUUCAUCACAGAUUAGCCAUCUCCACAGGAAAAUUCUCUGAAGGUAAACUAUCAUGUUCAUCACUCGAUUGCAAUCCGAGAAGAAAUUGUUUUUCCUAUGUCCCAAUAGCAGAAAAAUUUUGGACCAAUUUACAUGAUACAUAUGAGAAUUUUCUAAACAGAGUGUCAUGUCAUGUAUCUCGAAGGAUGCUAACUUAAUAUAGUAAGACCAGCAUUAAAAUCUUUUCAGAUAUGAGUAGGUUCCAAAGUACUCAAAUUUGAGCACCUGUACGGAACAAACCAUUGUGUGCACUGUGCAGCUCUUCGUGUCUGAUUCCUCCACCACUGUGAUGAGCAGCUGCAGCAUCCUCAGUGGCUAACCUCAGGCCCUUGAAAGACUUAUUCAACAGAUUAUGGUGAUAAGUCAAAUAAUUAUAAAUGAUGUCGGCUCCACGGAUCCUUUUAUUCCUGCAAUGCGGAUAAAUGCCCAAGAAUGUUUUAUAAUUAGAAAUGCCUGGAGAAACAAACAAAACCUAUUGGUUAGUUGUGUAAUAUAAUUAUAUACGUGUAUAUGUAUAUAUAGAAACAUGAUUCAUGAGGUUGCUUUAAUCAUUUUCUUCCCCAAUAAUCUGAGUUUUACUGCUCUCUAAUGAUUAUUACUAUCCAAUAAAGAAAAAUGACUUCUUAAACCAAUGUUGGUUUGCCAAAAAAAUAAUCCAACAACAAUAUUUGUUUUCUGAUCACCAAAUUGCAGUGCUGAAAUUUUUUUUAAACGAGUGGAUGACACAAAUCUCCACCAAAGCAAAUGGUUAUGAAACAAAUGGGGUCUUAAUGAAGUGGGGGCAAGGGGUGUUGUUCCAAUAGGGUCGGAAGCGUGUAAAUUAUUGUACUAAAAAAUCACACAAAGUUCAAUUCUCAGGGAAGAGAGGUGGAUCACAUGGAUCUCUUAAAUACCAAGUCUUUCCUUAGACAGAAUAUCCCUUCUAUAGUAAUUUAAUAGCACAAUUAAAUACUACUAUUAUACCCUCAAAUAUUGAAAGAAAAAUAGGACAAGAAAGAACACAAGAGUUUUAACGAGGUUCGGUAAAUUAUACCUACGUCCUCGGGCACUAACACCAGAUGAUAACUUUACUAACUUCAAAGUAUUACAAACAAAUAGAAUUCCUUAAGAAUUCUCAAAUGGGAGAAAAAGAAAACUAAGAGAGAAAGAUUGGUUGGGAUGAAUUGAAAUGAGAAAUGAGAAGGCCUAUUUAUAGUUGAGGUUCAAGGACCAAACAAUAAAUAGCCCAUUAUCUCAAGGACCAAAAAAAAAUUAUCCUUGCCACUUUUCCAAAGUUGGUGGUUGUCAUUAUUGAUUGUCUCCCAUUAAUGUUAAUGGCAACCAUUAUUAAUUGUCUUCCAUUAAUGUUAACAAUCUCCACCUUGAAGAUUUGAUUAGGAUAAUCACAUCUUCACACACUUCCUUCAACUCCCCAAAUUCGAUAAAGCUAUCUUUUGUAGUGCCUACAAAUGCGCUCUCGAGCGCCAUACACCUGAAGGUGCUCAAAUUCUCAGUAUGUUAAUCAAGUUCAAACAAUGAUUAAACUUGAUUGUUGUUACCACCUUGGUCAUCAUAUCUGCGGGAUUAUCUGCUGUCGGAAUCUUCUGAAGUAGAAUUUUUCCUUUUUCAAAGACUUCCCGCACAAAGUGAUAUCUUACGUCGAUAUGCUUGGUUCUUGAAUGAUAGACUUGAUUUUUCGCUAAAUGAAUAGCGCUCUGACUGUCACAAUAUAAACUUAUGUGACUUUGAACAACUCCUAAGUCUUUCAACAAUCCAUUAAGCCAAAUAGCCUCCUUAACAGCUUCUGUAACUGCCAUAUAUUCUGCCUUUGUAGUAGACACAGCUACUGUAGACUGUAAGGUAGACUUCCAACUCACUAGGGCUUUCGCAAGAGUAAACAGAUACCCCGUAGUUGAACGACGUUUAUCUAAAUCACCAGCAAAGUCGGAAUCAACAUAUCCAACUACAAACUGACCAAGUGCUUCAUCCUGUUCAAAAAUUAAACCAACAUCUACGAUUUUUCGAAGAUACCGUAGAAUCCAUUUCACAGCUUGCCAAUGUCCUUUUUCAGGAUCAUGCAUAUACCUGCUCACAACUCCAACAGCUUGUGAAAUGUCAGGCCUCGUACACACCAUCGCAUACAUCAAACUCCCAACUGCAUUAGCAUAUGGGACUUUCGCCAUAUAUUCUCUUUCAUCUUUAGUCUUCGGAGAUAAUUGAGCACUAAGUUUCAAAUGAGAAGCAAGUGGGGUACUUACAUGUUUUGUGUUUUCAUUUACACCAAAACAUUGUAAUACCUUUUUCAGAUAUUGCUUCUGAUUUAAACAGAGCUUGCCUCUCGGUCUAUCUCUACUUAUCUCCAUGCCGAGAAUCUUCUUGGCCUCACCUAGAUCUUUCAUCUCGAACUCUUGAUUCAACUGAGCCUUCAGCUUAUCUAUCUCAUUUUGGCUCUUCGAAGCGAUUAACAUAUCAUCAACAUACAAGAGUAGAUAAAUGAAAGAUCCGUCAUGCAGCUUCUGCAAAUAUACACAAUUGUCAUAUUUGCUUCUUGUGUACUUUUGCCUUCUCAUAAAGCUAUCAAAUCGCUUGUACCACUGCCUCGGGGAUUGCUUCAAUCCAUAUAGCGAUUUGUUAAGCUUACAAACCCAAUUUCUACCACCAGCAUCUGUGUAUCCUUCUGUCUGAGUCAUAUAGAUCUCCUCUUCUAACUCACCAUGCAAGAAAGCCGUCUUAACAUUGAGCUAGCUCCAAAUUCAACUGUGCUACCAAGGCCAACAAAAUUCUAAUGGAGGAAUGCUUCACAACAGGGGAAAAUACAUCAUUGUAGUCAAUUCCCUCCUUCUGAGCGUAGCCUUUAGCUACCAAUCUUGCCUUGUAGCGAAUAUCCUUCUUGCUAGGAGAUCCAUCUUUCUUUGCGAAUACCCACUUGCAUCCGAUUGCCCUUUUACCUUUCGGUAAUUGCGCCAACUCCCAAGUAUUGUUCUUCCGGAGAGACUGCAUUUCUUCAUCCAUGGCGCUUUUCCAUUUAUCACUUUCUAAGCUUUGCAUUGCUUCUUGAUAAGUGAUAGGAAUAUCAUCAACAACGAGAAGGGCGUAGGCCACCAUAUCAGUAAAUCGAGUAGGUUUACGAAUUUCUCUCCGUGGCCUUGCAACUGCAACUGGUUCUGGUGUACUUAGUGGUUCUUGGGUCAGAACCUCUUCAACCUCUAAUUCCUCCAUUGUGGCUGGAGAAUUAGACUUAUUGACUGGGCAAAUCCCCAUCUGCUCAAACUCCACCUGUUUUGGAGUACACUCCACCUGCUGUGGAGUAUUGCUCGUCUGAAUAUCUUUAUCUGCUACCUUUUUCAAUGUGGCAGAUUCAUCAAAGGUAACAUCUCUGCUACAAAUCAUUUUCUUUGUGCUUAAGCACCAAAGACGAAAUCCCUUCACUCCAGAAGUGAUUCCUAUAAAGAGAGCUUUCUUUGCCCUCGGAUCUAAUUUUGACUCCUUUACAUGGUAAUAUGUAGUGGUUCCAAACACAUGUAAGGAAUCAUAAUCUGUAGCCGGUUUUCCAGACCAUACCUCCAUAGGAGUUUUUCUUUCUAAUGCAGAUGAUGGCAAACGAUUAACAAGAUGGCCAGCGUAUGUCACAGCCUCAGCCCAAAAUUGCUUGCCCAACCCAGCAUUGGACAACAUACAUCGAACUUUCUCCAGCAAUGUUCGAUUCAUACACUCUGCCAAUCCAUUCUACUGUGGUGUAUCCCUAACUGUGAAGUGUCGAACAAUACCAUACUCUUGGCACACAUCGAAGAACGGAUCACUUUUAUAUUCCCCUCCAUUGUCCAUCCUAAGCCGCUUGAUUUUCUUGCCAGUCUGGUUUUCGAUCAUAGUUUUCCAUUUAAGAAAAACUCUAAGCACUUCAUCCUUAGUUCUCAUGGUAUACACCCAAACUCUUCUGGAAAAGUCAUCAACAAAAGUAACAAAGUAGUGUUUUCCUCCCAAUGAACGUGUCUUGGAAGGCGCCCACACAUCUGAGUGAACAUAUUCCAAAAUACCUUUUGUAUUAUGGAUAACAGUACCGAAUUUCACUCUCUUUUGCUUUCCCAGAACACAAUGCUCGCAAAAUUUUAAUUUGCAAGCCUUUGCACCUUUCAACAAUCCUUGCUUUGCCAGAAUUUGCAAGGAUUUUUCGCUGGCAUGUCCCAACUUCAUAUGCCACAACUGUAUUGAGUCCAAUUCUUUGUUGCCGGAAGCUGCAGCGACUGCUCCAAUAACUGUACUACCUUGGUAGUAAUACAAGUUAUUUUUCCUGAUGCCCUUCAAUAUCACAAGUGCGCCAGAUGUCACUUUCAAAACCCCAUCUCUCAUAGUAACAACUGAACCAUUGGAUUCCAAGGCUCCCAAUGAGAUGAGAUUUUUCUUCAAACUGGGCACGUACCGAACAUCAGUCAGAACUCUGGUUGAUCCAUCUUUAUUCUUUAAUUGGAUUGAACCUAUCCCAACAGUUUUACAGGCAUUGUCAUUGCCCAUAUAAACAACUCCUCCAUUUAGUUCUACUAAAUCAGAGAACCACUCCCGGUUAGGGGACAUAUGAUAGGUACAACCCGAAUCCAAUAUCCACUCAUCUGAAUGGAACGACGAUGAUGAUGCAACCAGUGAUAGUUCAGAGUCACUAGUAUCAUGCUUAGCAACACAAGCAUCUAUAGCAGCUUUUCCCUUAUUCUUCAGCUUUGGACAAUUUUUAUUCCAGUGGCCUUUCUCAUGAUAAAAAGCACAUUCAUCUUUCCCAAGUCUGGACUUUGACUUUGAUCUCCCCUUUUGAGUUUUCUUCCGAGUGUAUGAACGACCUCGGACUACUAAAGCUUCUGUAUCUCUGAUUGAGUUUUUCUGUUUGUCCUUCUUUCUCUGUUCAUAACUGUAUAAGGCCGCACAGACUUCGCUCAGAGAUAUAUCACUCCUGCCAUGAAGUUGAGUAGUUUCUAGGAACUCAAACUCCUCAGGAAGUGACCCCAACAGCAUCAAAGCCAAAUCUUCAUCUUUGAAUGUCUCAUCCAUAUUCAACAAAUCAGUGACUAACUGAUUAAAUUUGGUGAUGUGAUCAUUCAUUGUGGUACUUGGGACGUAUGUGAAGCGAAAUAGUCUUUUCUUCAAGUGGAGCUUAUUUUGACUGUUUUUCUUCAAAAAAAAUUUUUCAAGUGCCACCCACAACUUAUUUGCAGAAGUCUCCUUUGAAAAAGCAUACCUCUGCUCUCGAGAAAGGCAUGAUCGAAUUGUGCCACAUGCCAACCGAUUGAUUGCCUUCCAAUCUUUCUCCUAUACAUCAUCUGGUUUCUCUUCAUCAAUGGCAAUGUCUAGACCCUGCUGAAAAAGGGCAUCUAGAACAUCACUUUGCCACAUACCAAAAUGGCCCGUACCAUCAAAGAUCUCCACGGCCAAUCUUGCAUUUGCAAUUGUCGGUCUUGUCCACAUGGACGAUGUUGAAGCUCCUACACUGACCGUUUUCUCCAUAAUCUUUCAAUAUACCUAAGGAAAUCUUUUCUGAUGUGGAAGAUCAGUUUAAACUGCAACCACAGAGCAUACUACGAUUAACCUUCGGCUCUUGAUACCACUUGUUGUUCCAAUAGGGUCGGAAGCGUGUAAAUUAUUGUACUAAAAAAUCACACAAAGUUCAAUUCCCAGGGAAGAGAGGUGGAUCACAUGGAUCUCUUAAAUACCAAGUCUUUCCUUAGACAGAAUAUCCCUUCUAUAGUAAUUUAAUAGCACAAUUAAAUACUACUAUUAUACCCUCAAAUAUUGAAAGAAAAAUAGGACAAGAAAGAACACAAGAGUUUUAACGAGGUUCGGUAAAUUAUACCUACGUCCUCGGGCACUAACACCAGAUGAUAACUUUACUAACUUCAAAGUAUUACAAACAAAUAGAAUUCCUUAAGAAUUCUCAAAUGGGAGAAAAAGAAAACUAAGAGAGAAAGAUUGGUUGGGAUGAAUUGAAAUGAGAAAUGAGAAGGCCUAUUUAUAGUUGAGGUUCAAGGACCAAACAAUAAAUAGCCCAUUAUCUCAAGGACCAAAAAAAAAUUAUCCUUGCCACUUUUCCAAAGUUGGUGGUUGUCAUUAUUGAUUGUCUCCCAUUAAUGUUAAUGGCAACCAUUAUUAAUUGUCUUCCAUUAAUGUUAACAAGGGGUGUCUUCAGAUGCAUAUGAAUUUGGUUUACAGGCGAGAUAGAUCACAAAUAUUAUAUUGAUAAAAAAAAUUGAUAUCGUUCGUGGAAAAUCAUUAGUGGAAUGAAGGAGUUAAAGUUCACAUGUUAUUCAUAGAAUGAAUUGAAAGAGUUGAGAGUUUUGAGAGAGAAUUUCAGAAAAAUAAUAAGUGGGAUGUGCAUGUUUUUCUAGAUUAUUUGAAGGCAUGUACGUAAUUAUGCACAACUUAUGGAAUAUAAGUGUUUUAUAUGUAUAAUAUAUUUAUUAAGUUACGAUGAAUCCUUUCACACGUUACUUUUAAAGUUAUGUAAAGUCUUAUUUUUAUAAGUAGUUUUAAGUUAAUAUUAAUGUGAUUGGACGAGACCCACAUAUUGAACAUAUAAAAAAAGUAUCGAUAAUCAUGUAAAAUAAAAUGUAAUCUUCAAAGUAAGUGAAUUUUUUUAAUCAAAAUGGAUUGACUUGACGAAAUUUUUUAAAACGAAAUAAAUAAAUAUCAUCUUACAUAUAUUUAUAUAUGUGUGCAAUAUACAUAAAUGUACCCUUAGCCCACCAAAACUUUCUUUCGCAAAUUUUAGACGGCGAACCAAAACCAAGGUACCUAACCACGUCCUACAAACCAGAUGUUCGUAUAGGUUAGAUGCAGGAUUAAGAAGCCACAACCUAUAAGGCUAAAACUUGCCACAUGCCCAUAUGACAUCUUACUUUCAAAAAAAAGAAAAAACAUGACAUUCAACUCAAAUCCUAUACAAAUACCUUUAUUUGUAAGAAGAAAUUUUCUCAUUUAUUGACUAUAAUUAUUAGAUUUUACAAGUAAAAUUUACAAAGUGGCACAGAUAUUUAGUCCAAUGAUAAAUCCGCUUUAUAGAUGAAAAGUAUAAAAAAUUAUAUAUUUUUCUUUUAAAUGAAAGCUAAAUUAAAAAAAAAACAAUUAUAUGGCUGAUUGUUUUUAUUGUAUUUUAAAAAAAGUUAAGUGAGUAGGUUUUUUACCCUGUGAUUCCCAAAAAAAAUGUUGUCAUCGAGGAUUGUUACCUAUACACAGAUAAAUUCAAGGAAAACUAUUUCAUGCAAGCUAAUCAUAUUUAAAAGCAAGCAAAGGGUCGUAAACAUUGUAGAUUGGAGCAUUUCAUGAAACAUAGUUACAAGCUAGAGUAUCAUCCCAUGACCCAUAGCAGUCUUCUAUAUUAUUGGGUUUUUGCAAACUUGGGCUUGAAUACACAAAUAGAAUAUAAUCACAGAAAACUUUGUUUUUUGUGUAUUGAAUUUGGGUUUAUGCUUCAUUUUAUUAUCGACAAUGAUAUCAGAACCUAUUUUAAAUCCAACAUCAUGACGAUUUGAUUUUUAUUUGUUUAAUAAUAUUUUGUCCCCUAACUAAUUGGCAAUUGAAAACUUCUACCCUUUGUAUGCAUGAUUAGUUUAGAAAUUUUGUGCAUAAUUAUCAAGCAACGUCGUGAUUACAAUUCUUGAACUCGAUUCCAUGAUAAGGAGUUCAAAUUUUAAAGUCGACCAAAGCAAGUUAGUAUCUUUCACUCUUUUAACAUAUAUUUCCAACUUCAUAUAUAAACAUUUAUUUAUACUCAUGGUUUAGAAACAGGGCUGAAAAAACUCUCUUGAAAGCAGAUACCAUUGGCGGCAGCCAUGGGUUUAUGUGAAGAAGAAAAGAUGCCUCUAUCUCUAUGAGUAGAAUUAUUGCAGUGGGUCACACCUUCGCUUUCAUUUACUUCAACUUCUCAGGUAAUAUUCCAACAUUACAGCGUUGAAUUGUUUGCAAAUUUAUUUACCUCAUAUUCCCACUUUCUUUGAUCUCUCCUUGUCCCAACCACGUUGGAUUUUGAACCAUUUGGUCUUAUAUUACAUAACAUACAAAUGAAAAGAAAAGAAAAACAUUUGCGAUUCCGACCAUAAAUAAAUAAUGUUCUGUUCUGUAACGAGAAACAGCCAAAGCUUCCAGCACUUACAAUAAUAAUAAAAGUAAUGAGGGUAAAGGCUUCAAAGUUUUUUUUUUUUUUGUUUUUUUUUAAAUAAAGGAUAAGGAGUAAGGAUUAUCUUAUGAUCCAACUUAGCAUUAGUGUUUAAUUGAAAAUUUAAAUACAAUAACUUCAAGAUAGAGUACAGUGUCCGUGUGGUGUUUGUUUUUCUACCUUCCCUGCAGGAUCCGAAACUUCCAAUUCAAGUUUCUUGCUAUAGAUAAGGUGUUUCGUAAGAAAACGUAAGUCUUAAAAGAGUUACAAGACAGCACCAGUUAUAUGGCCCUUGCUAGAUUCAUAGUUACUUUCCCAUGUACCGACUCUAAAGUGAAUGACUUUUUUUUUUCUUUGCAUAGCACUUUUUUUUUCCCCGAAAAGGAUAGGUAUCAAAAUGAUAUAUGUAUUUUAGGGCCAACACUCAGAACCACUUUUUGACCACUCAUAGUUUAGUUAAAAUCAAAUUUCGUUCUGUCUUUUGACACACUAUUUUCUCUGUCUAUUGAAAUGCUCUUCUGCUGUUGUUAGCACGCUUUCGUCUCUUGUUUUGCUUGUUGUUUAUUUUCUUUGAUUUAGUCAUUAUUGUAGUUAAGAACAUUGAUGAUUCUAUAGCAGACCUGUCACUGGAGUAUGAUGAAGAUGAAACCAUUCAAUUAGGGGCCGAAUCUUCAGAGAGUGAAACCUUGUAUGCUAAUUGUUUUGUAGGAAUGUUUCUUACCUCCAGUGUAGUUAAUUUCCAAGCGAUGAGAUUGACUUUGGCUAAUUUUUGGCAUCCAAUAGAGGGAGUCUCAAUCUCGAAUCUAGGCAAUGAAAGAUUCUUAUUCAAAUUUUAUUUUGAAGUUGACGUGGACAAAGUUGAAAAAAAUGGGUCAUGGAAUUUCAACUCUCAUCUAUUGGUGCUACAUCGGUUAAAGGAAGAGGAAGACCCUUUAUCUGUUCAAUUAAAUUGGGUAGACUUUUGGAUGCUUAUCCAUGAUCUUCCCCUUGGUUUCAUGUCUGAAGCGGUUGCUAGACAGUUGGAUAGUUUUAUUGGUGUUUUCCUUGAAUAUGAUGCAUCAACGACUCAGUUGGGUUAUAAAAGAAUAAUGAUGUUAAAUGUGCGAAUUGAUGUUAGAAAACCAUUGAAAAAGAAGAAGAAACUCACCUCUCGAAUGGUGAGUGGAUUUAUGUUCGAUUUGAAUAUGAAAAACUCAUUUUAUUUUGUUUCCUUUGUGGUAAACUAAGGCAUGGUAAAACUUUUUACCCGAUCAGAGCUCACAAUCCGCUACAAGAGUAUGUUUUCCGUUGGGAUAUAUCUUUACGUGCUCAGUUAAGGAAAAAUUUGGCUUGGAAGAGUAGAUGGUUGGUGGAGGAUGACGAUUGUGGUACUUUAAUUUAUGGAAACUAUAACACCCCUAACCCUUAUCCGUCGCCGGAACAGGGUUACAAAACAUUACCAGACUUUACAGAUUAAAUAUGAACAUUUCACAACUUUUAUUAUACAUGUUAAGAAUCAGUUAUAAAACACUCAUGUUGUCCCUUAGAUGGACCCUCAAGGCACAAUAUACACUUUAGAAAUGAAUUGGGACUAAACCGGAUACUUAGAGAAUUUUUCCUAAAAUCUCAAAAAAAUUUCUUAAAAGUAGGGGACACACGUCUGUGUGGCUCACACAGCCAGGAGACACACCCGUGUCUUAAGCCGUGUAGGCAUUCGAUGUGAGGCACACAACCGUGUCUCAGCCCGUGCCCUUACCCGUGUAACUCUCUGACUUGGGUCACACGGCCAUCCACAUGCCCGUAUGCUAGGCCGUGUGCAAGAUGUAAAGGUCACACAGCCAAGCCACACACCCGUGUGCUAAGCCGUGUGUAAAAACUUGAGCAUUCUGUUUUAAAAUUUUAAGGUGCAGGGGACACACGGCCAGACCAUACGCCCAUGUGUCAGGCCGUGUGGACGAAAAUAGACCAUUUUCAAUACAUCAAAUAGCCCCAAUCAAACAAUCAACACAAGCCAAAAAUCAUGUUUUAAACAUAAUAUAUCAUCACAAAACUCAAUUGCCAAAACUUACCAAAAUAACUCCGUUCAUUGAUUUACCAAAAUCUACUACUAAAUAUAUGCAUACUAACACAUAUAUAUGUCAUUCACAACCAUACUUCAAAUUUAGCUCUUUUCUAACUCGGCCCUAUACAUGUCAUAUAAACCAUAAAAUGUAUAACAAAAUCUACUGGAGCAAACUAGAUAGUGUGGCUCUAUGUGUUGAUCCGAUGCUUUAAACUUCUUAAAAAUCUAAAAAGAACAUUAAACGACACAGUAAGUUUAAUGAAGCUUAGCAAGUUCGCUGGCUUUAAAUAUAAAUCUUACCGAACAUACUAUAAUAAUUUAUUUAGGUAAAUUAUUUCACAAACAUUUCCUGCCAAUCACAACUUCAAUUAAUGAAUUCACUCAUUUGAGCUCAAUAUCAAUAAUAACUUAAAUUCUUCCACAUUAAUUCCAUUUGGCACUUACCAAUCAUUAUCAAACCAGAGAACGUCUUACGGAUUUGAGUACAUCGUAAAUAGAAAUCCAUAAGGGUUCAUCUAAAGCUCAAAAGAGUUAAACGGAAACCCAUUAGGGUUAAAUUGAAGCUCAAAAGAGCUAAACUGAAAUCCAGAAGCGUUAAUUUGAAACUCAUGAGUUUACUGAAGCUCGUGAGAGCUAAACGGAAAGCAAAUACGAGAGUUCGCAACAAAUGUUGAACAUCGGUUUACUUGGGUAAUUUUACCGUCAAUUCCUAUUUUGCACUAAACGACUAUACUCAAUCCUACGUUCCAUUCACUUCAAACACUUGAUGCAAUUUCAUAAAUUUAACAAUAAUUUUAUUUUCAACAAAUGUUACGAAUAAAUACAAAAAAUCAUUCAUCAAUUAACAUAUCACAUUAAAUUUUAACCAUUAGAACUUACCUGGGUUAAAUUGUGGAAAUUGUAAUGGUUCAGAGAUUAUUUGGCUAUUUUCCCAUUUUUCGCGUUGGUCUAAGGGCUCUUGAUCUAAAAUAUAAAAUUAUUAAUUCAUUAGCACAUGCUUCAAUUCUAAUUCACUUCACAAUUUAUACCACUCAAUUUUUGAAAUUAUACAAUUACCUCAACUUUUACAGUUUUUGUAAUUUAGUCCAUCGCCAAUUAACUCAUCAAAUAAGCUAAUUUUUCUCAAGUAACACUUUAUCUAAAUAUUUUAAACUAUUACACAGCCUUUGAUAAACAUAAUUUAAUACUAAACCCUAAGAUUUAAUUUUUUUACAAUUUGGUCCUAAAAUCAAUUUCCCUUGAAAGCACUUGAUAAAAUCAUCAUAUAACAAAAUUAAAACUUCAAAUCCAUGUUAAUUCAUCAUAAAAAUGCAGCACUCAUCAAUGGUAGCUUUCAAGAUUACUCAUAAAAUCAAAAACUAAUGAAUUAGAUAGUUAGACCUAAUUACAGAAGUCUUAAAAACACAAAUUUUAAGAAAAGAGCAAGAAUUGAACUCACAUGUAGCAAAAUAUGAAAUCCAACUUCUUAAGGGUUCUUCAAUGGUGUUUUUAGCUGAUAAAUUGAAGAAGAAUAACUUAGAAAAGUUGAGAAUUCAAUUUAUUUAAGUUUAUUUCACAAAAUUUACAAUUUUGCCCUUUAAUCACAUGAUUUUUGUUUUCUUUUCUGCUUAUGCCGCCUCAGGCCUUUGUUUUAGGCAUAAUUGCUCCUUAAGUCCUUCUUUGUUCAUUAAUUAAGUCAUUUAAUCAUUAUUUCUUUAAUUAGCAAGUUUUGCACCUUUUUCUAAUUUAAUCUUUUUUAAUUAAUUAACUAUCGAAACGUUAAAAUUUUCUAACGAAAUAUUUAUAAAAAUAUUUACAGCUCAGUUUAUAAAAUCGAGAUCUUGAUACCUCGUUUUCAAAACUAGUUAAUCUAACAAAUAUUUCUAAAGCAUAAAUCACUAAUUCAUAAGCCUUCUUAAAUUCAGAAUCGAAUCAAAAACACUAUAUAAUAAAAUUUAUGAAUUAAUUUAUCGGAUUUAGUGUUCUCAAACUACUAUUUUCGAAACUACUGAAAAUUGGACUGUUACAAAAACUCUAUAAAAAUACGGAAAGGAGAAAUUUUGAGGUUUCAUAAUCUGUUUGCAUAAAUCAAUGAGCAAAUUCAGAAUUUAUUUCCAAUUAUUCCCUCUCAACAAAAGGAAUGGUGAAUGUCUAGUUGACUUCAAGCCCAAUAAAUAUGGGUGAAAUGGGUCGAGCUUACAACGAAGCUAGGAACAUCUUUGAUGCGAAUAUGGCAAUUUAUGAGGAGGAGAAUAACCCAAUAAAAUAAAGUGAUGGGCUAAAAAGACCUUUUUUUAAGUCUACUUCAGGAGUUUCUAAUAAGGAAGAUUUGAAUGAAGUUUCGGGUACUCUAUUACAGGUACCAAAUUCUAGUAGAUCGCCAGGCCCUGCUAAGUGGGCUAGUCGGAUGCAAUGAAGCUGUUGAGUUGGAACAUUCAGGUAAAGGGGAGGUCUUGGACAGUUUGUUGUCUCCAGCAUAUGCUGAGAGAUAUAAAUCUCUCUAUAGUGUUCCUAAUUGAGAUGAAACUAUAGGGUUUUAAUAUGGAAGGAACAAGACGCAAAUGUGGAUUUCUUAAUGGGAUGGAUGUUGAUUCAUAUGGUAGAAGUGAGGGUUUAUCAAUGGGUUGGAGUAGCGAUUAUAAGAUUUGUCUUCGGUCUUUUUCGAGAAGGGACAUUGGCAUUAUGAUUGAUAAGGAUACUGAUGGUAAAACUUGGUGAUGUACGGGGUUUUAUGAAGUGCCCGAGGAGAAUCUGAGGAGGCAUCGUAAAAUUUAUUGCAUUCUUUAGAUGACUGCCCACAUAUCCCUAUGUUUGUAAUAGGGGAUUUUAAUGAAAUAGCUUAUUCAUCUGAAAAGAAAGGUGGAUUACUUCAGAGGGAGAGACAAAUGAGAAGAUUUUGGGAAGCUCUUUAUGAUUGCUCUCUUACAGAUUUGGGCUAUAGAGGACAAUGGUUUACCUGGGAAAAAGGUCGUACUCGAGCAAACAAUAUUAGGAAACGUUUGGAUCAAAGGGUAGCUAAUGCAGUUUGAUGGGAUUUAUUUCAAAAUUACAAAAUGCAUCAUCUCACGCAUUCUUUUUUAUUGCAAUCAGAUUUUGAAAAUAAUCAUGCGAAAUGGUGUCACUUCAAGUUCGAGGUUGCGUGGCUUUUGGAAGAAACGUGUGAGUCAAAUGUUCUAAAAUUAUAGACUGAAAAUUUGGGUGAUGUCCUUAAUAGAUUGAAGGUGUUUGGUGUGGGCCUUAAAGCGUGGUUCAAAAGGAUUAAAAAGAUAGGGGUUUGUCGAAAAAAGAUCUUAAGAAGCAAUUCAUUAAGUUGAACAAAUCAUACCUAACUGAUGAGGUGUUGGGUGAUAUUGUUGAGAUAAAACUAGCCCUUAAUAUGGAGGCCGGUAGGGAGGAACUCUACUGGGAACAAAGAGCCAGAGCUAAUUGGAUGAAAAAUGGUGACCGAAACACAAAAAUUGCAACAAAAAGAAGACGAAGGAAUAUGAUGGAUAAACUACUAGAUUUUGAUGAAAAUUAUUAUAAGAGCAAUGAGGAGCAGUUGUCACUUGCCACUGACUACUUUGCCUCUCUAUUCACUUCAACUAGAAUCGAAAAUCCAGGUUCUAUAUUAGAAGGGGUUGAGCCGUGCAUUACUCGAGCAAUGAACGAGGAACUUGCAAAGGAUUUUUCUUACGAGGAUAUUUGUAUGGCGUUAAAAUCAUGAAUACAUUAAAGACUUCUGGUGAGGAUGACUUGGGUGCAAUUUUUUAUCAAUGGUUUUGGCAUAUUAUGGGUAAAGAGGUAGCAAAUUAUUGUAUUGAGAUUUUAAAUGGAGGCACAAUAUCGCUGAAAUCAACCAGACACAAAUUGUUUUAAUCCCUAAGGUUAGCUGUCCAUGAAUUAUGGCUCUAUUUAAACCGAUUAGCCGUUAUAAUACCCUUUACAAAAUUAUUGCAAAAAUGCUAGUGAAUAGGUUUUAAAAAGUCUUUCACUAUUGUAUAGAUGAGGUACAAAGUGCAUUUGUACCAGGGAGGCUUAUCACUGAUAAUAUUUUAGUUGUCUAUGACGUUUUACACUCCAUGAAAAAGAAAAAGAAAAAGAUAAGAGAUGAAGGGUCUUUUGCUUUGAAGCUUAACAUGAGUAAAACGUAUAAUAGACUAAAGUGUGCGCUCAUUAAUGUCAUGCUUAGCCGAAUGAGUUUCUCGAAGUUGUGGGUUCAGAAAAUUAUGAGAUGUAUUGAAAUGAUUUCUUAUUCUGUGGUUAUGAGCGGAGAGGUGGGUAAUUUGUUUCUUCCUUAUCGGGGGCUUAAACAAGGGGGCCCACUUAAUCCUUAUUUAUUUCUUAUUUGGGGAAGGUCUGUCAUCUUUUCUUAGAAUGGCUGCUACAAGUGGGGAUCUCAAGGGUGCUUGCAUUAAGAGACACGCUCCAGUUAGCACCCACUUGUUAUCUUUGCAAAUGACAGUCUUAUCUUUGGAAAGGCCACAACAGAUGGGGCUAUGGUGCUUAAUGAAAGACUGGAGAUUUAUGCCAAUAGUUUGGGUCAAUUAAUAAUUUUUGAUAAGUCUGGUAUGUUUUUAGUUCCAAUGUUGAGUAGAAUAGCAAAAAAGAGGUUUAUCGAAUUUUAGGGGUUAAUCCAAACAUUAAUCCAGAAAAGUAUAUUGGUCUCCUUUAAAUCGUGGGGCAAAACAAAAAGAGGGCUUUUAGGGAGAUAAAAGAAAAUCUAAUUAAAAGAGUGUUUAGUUAGAGUUCGAGAAUGCUUUCGGUGGGUAUAAAAGAGGCCCUUAUCAAAAUAGUAUUUCAGGGAGUUCCCAUGUAUACCAUUUCUUAUUUCUUGAUGCCCAAUUCCUUUUGUAAGGAACUUGAAACUGUUAUUGCUAGAUUUUGGUGACAGAAGAAAGCUGGGAGGAAUGGUUUACAUUGGAGUUCUUGGAAACCAUUGUGUAUUCCAAAAGAGGAUAAAGGUAUGGGUUUCCGUAAUCUUUCUAAAUUUAAUAUUUCUUUAUUAGCAAAACAAUGUUAGAGAUUGAUGGAAAAUCCAGGCUCGUUAACAAGAUUAAUUCGAGAAAAAUAUUAUCACGGUUUAAAUUUUCUAGAAGCCCCAUUGGGCUCAUACCCGUCCCUAAUUUGGAAAAGUAUAUGGUGUUCCAAAGCUUUGUUAAAAUCUGGUAUUGGAUGAAGGAUUGGUUCUGGGCUAUCUAUCUUGAUAUGGCAAGACUAUUGGUUACCGAGGAAGAAUAGAGCACUAAUUACUACAAACAAGGUAGCAAGAUUGGAAUGUGUAAGUGAUUUGAUUCUCCCAAACCCAAAUAGAAGAGAUCGACAAUUAAUCUACUCAACUUUCACGGAGGAAGAAGGAAAUUUGAUUGUAAGAAUCCCUAUACCUAUCACUAAUCAAUCUGAUAAAGUAAUAUGGUCUAGAGAAAAAUCAGGUUUUUAUUCAGUAAAAAGCAGUCACAAAGCCUUCAUCGAACUUCUCAUUUGAGUACUAUUGAGCAAUAUAAUUUUAAGCAAAUUUGGAGUUUAACGUGCCUAUCAAAAAUUCACAUUUUAAUGUGAAAAUUUGCAAAUAUAUAUAUUCCUACUUUCCAGAAUUUGCAUUAUAGAAGAAUUUUGUCAGAGAAUAGUUACCCGCGCUGUCAGGAUUGUAGUAAAUCACAUGUUCAUGUUGCUCGAUACUGUGCAUUCACUAUGCAUGUUUGAUCAAAAUUAAAUUAUCAGUGGCCAAGUUCAAUGCGUCUAUGAGUUUUAACAACUGGUUAAACUGGCUAUUCAUAAAUUCAUCCAGUAACAGUAAAGGGGAAAUAGCCAUUACAAUUUGGGCAAUCUGAUUUUCCCGCAACAAACUGAUACAUGAAAGAAAAGUACAAAGUGUGGAGGAAGUUGUUACCUUUAUCAGGGGUUAUGGCAGGGAGUACAAGAGGCGUUUUGGAAUAUUACAACACCCCUGACCCAGAUAGUUGAUAAAAUGGGAGCCCCCCCUACGAAUUGGGUCAAAGUGAAUGUUGACGUCGGUUUCUCAGAGGCAAAACAACAUGCAACAUUGGGUUUCUUAAUUAGAAAUGAUGAAGGUCUUAAAAUAGGGUCGGGAAUCAGAACUCAUAACCUAGUUAGAUCGGUGGUGUUGGCUAAAGCGAUGGCUGCUCUUCACGGGCUCUAGUUUGCGUUGGAGAUGGGUUUCACGAAAAUUAUUUUGGAAAGUGACUCUAAAACAAUUAUUAAAAACCUCCAAGCAACAAAGGAAGACUAUUCAGAGAUAAGACCGAUUACUUGGGAUGUGAAGGCUCUUACAAUGAAAUUUUCUUCAUGUCAUUUUGAGUUCGUUGCGGGAGAAGGUAACGCAGUGGCGCAUGCGAUGGCGGUCGAAGGGAUGAGAAGAUCAGAAGACUCGUUCUGGGUUGAAGAUGCCCUAUUAAAAGCGAUGGAAAUGGCAGAUUUGGAUCGUCUUUUCAUCUGGCCACCAUAAUUUCCCUCCUCUGCUGCUCGCUGCUCUGGGUUGAGAACUUCUGAUAUUCUAAAGGUAUAUCUCAACUCCCUUCCAUUGUUUGCUAGUUCUGAUUACCAGAUCUCGCAAGGUUUUGGCUGUUUGGGUUUUCUGGUCACUGAAGGGUUUGGAAGAAGCUUCUAGAGUUGCAUCAUGUUUUAUUUUCUUUAUUUUAUCUGUUUGAACUUCAUUUUCUAUCUGCUUUUGUUUUGGACUUCCAAGCCCAUUUUAAUCAAAAUGAACCGUUUAUUCAAAAAAAAAAAUAACUUUUUGACAAAAAAAAUACUUUUAAGCAAAAGCUAAAAAUUUUUAGUUUUGCUUUUGAUAAAAAAAAUAAUUUUGUAAAAUAUUUUUUUAUCUCAAAAAUAUUUUUAAAAAGCUCAAAAGUAUAUUGUUUAGUAAUAUUUUCAAAUCAAAAGUAUUUUUUGUCUCAAAAAUACUUUUGAAAAGUAAUACUAAUCAGACUCAAAAGUAAUUACGAUUUUUUUGUGUCCUUAGACACCGAUAGACACUCAAUUUGAUUGUUGGAACUGAAAAAAAAAGAAGUGUUACUUUCAUGUAUUUUCCAAUUAUUAUAUAUAAGGAGAUGGUAGUGAAACACUUUUUUUUCUCAAUUAAAAAAAAAAUUUAAGUGAGUAGUUUAUGGGAGAGUGAGUAGUUUUCUUUUUAGAUCUGACUUUUUUAAAGGUUGGAAUUAAUGAAUAUAAAAGUAAAAAGAUUGGUAAAUAUUGAUUAUUUACUGUUUUGUUCUACAUUUUCUUGAUUUAUAUUAACUUUUAAAGAGAUUUUAGUAACGUCAGUUAAGACCAUAAACUUAAUCAGAAAUAGUAAAAAACUUUAUGGCAGAAAAAAGUAAAAAAUAACUAAAAAAGAAAAAGGGAACUAAAAUAUGAUAACCUCUUAAUCCACUAAUGAAAUAAAAAUUUCACUAUUUAUAAUCUACUUCCCUUUUCCGGGCCAGUGUUUCAAACUAGAAACUUCUUUGGGUCAUCUUCAUAUUAGAUUGAAGCCCGAUUUUAGGUUUAUGUACCAAAACCAAAAAUUAGUUAUGUUUGGUAAAUGAAUUUGAAUACAUGCACCACCACUCUCAAUGCUCACCCACCUAAGCCCAUGACAUAAACUGCAUUUAAGUGAACCAGUGGCAGUUGGAGCCAUUAUGUUGGUUGAAAAAUAUUGUUGGCAGUGUUAUUCAGCAGUACUUGUUCUAAGGCUCCUACUACAUUUCUCAUUAUAAAUGUGGAGAAAUCUUGUUCUACUUUCCAUUCCAUGCAACACUAACUUUUAGAUUCCCUUUCCAUUGCACUGCUCUUUCUUUCUAUAGAAUUAGUCACUCCUGUUCUAGAUGAAGGUUCUCUCCCCAAUUCUUGCUUGCCUAGCGGUAAGUUUUUCGAUUUCAUGUGAUUAUUCGUUGUUGAAUGCAAAGAACUAUGAAGGGUUUUUUUUUACCUCAACUUUUCUUGUUUGUUAUUUGUUGUUACAGCUUGCUGUGGUGGUAAGCCAUGCUGCUCUCUCACCUGAGCAAUAUUGGAGCUAUAAGCUGCCAAAUACUCCAAUGCCAAAGGCUGUCAAAGAAAUUCUACAUCCAGGUGAGUGUUUAAUAUCCCAAGAAUUCUUUUUUUUUUUUUUGAAUCAUGUUUACUCACCGACAAAACAGGACUACUGUGAUAUAAGCCCUCAACUUGAGAUGGUCAGGAAAGUGAGGACUGUAGAAUAUCAGACCCUGGUUUCCCAUAGAAUUGAAUUGAGCCUAAUGCAGCAAACAAUCAUGUAAUCGUGGAAGCCGGGUAAUAAUCAGAAAUGAGGUGCUUAACAUAGUUCUGUUCCUGCAAUUUAUUAAAAGAGAAAGAGCCAGGAUACUUUCUGUUUAGCAAUAUAUUUCAGAAAACAUAGGAAUAGGAUGUGUUCUGCACAUAUUGACUUAUUAUGAAAAAAAUUGUUGGAAUCAUGCAUUCAUCAGCAUGUAUAUGAGCUCUCUAGCCCAUUUUGGUGUAUUUGCAGAACUGAUGGAGGAGAAAAGCACCUCUGUAAAUGUAGGAGGUGGUGGUGUAAACGUCAAUACAGGAAAAGGGAAGCCUGGGGGUGACACCCAUGUGAACGUUGGAGGCAAAGGAGUUGGAGUGAACACGGGAAAGCCAGGGGGUGGCACUCAUGUGAAUGUUGGAGACCCUUUUAAUUACCUAUAUGCAGCCAGUGAAACUCAAAUCCAUGAAGACCCGAAUGUGGCUCUUUUCUUUCUGGAAAAGGAUAUGCACCCCGGGGCAACAAUGAGCCUGCAUUUCACUGAAAAUACAGAGAAAUCAGCUUUCUUACCUUAUCAAACUGCCCAAAAAAUACCGUUUUCAUCUGACAAGUUGCCAGAAAUUUUCAACAAGUUUUCAGUGAAACCUGGAUCACUGAAGGCAGAGAUGAUGAAGAACACAAUUAAGGAGUGCGAACAGCCAGCGAUUGAAGGAGAGGAAAAAUAUUGUGCAACCUCACUGGAGUCAAUGAUUGACUAUAGCAUUUCCAAACUAGGGAAAGUUGAUCAGGCAGUCUCAACAGAAGUGGAAAAACAAACCCCAAUGCAAAAGUAUACAAUAGCAGC
RNAcentral lists this long non-coding RNA (20235 nucleotides) under Gossypium barbadense (sea-island cotton). RNAcentral describes it as "long non-coding RNA (GBAR_LNC015946)". Lineage: Eukaryota; Viridiplantae; Streptophyta; Magnoliopsida; Malvales; Malvaceae. The record is from RNAcentral.